CCUACGGGUGGCAGCAGUGAGGAAUAUUGGUCAAUGGACUAAAGUCUGAACCAGCCAAGUAGCGUGAAGGAUGACUGCCCUAUGGGUUGUACACUUCUUUUAUCUGGGAGUACAACGUUCCACGUGUGGGAUUUUGUAUGUACCAUGUGAAUAAAGCUCGGUUAACUCCGUGCCAGCAGCCGCGGUCAUACGGAGGAUCCGAGCGUUAUUCGGAUUUAUUGGGUUUAAAGGGAGCGUAGGUGGCUUGUUAAGUCAGUUGUGAAAGUUUGCGGCUCAACCGUAAAAUUGCAGUUGAAACUGGCAGUCGUGAGUACAGUAGAGGUGGGCGGAAUUCGUGGUGUAGCGGUGAAAUGCUUAGAUAUCACGAAGAACUCCGAUUGCGAAGGCAGUUCACUGGACUGCAACUGACACUGAGGCUCGAAAGUGUGGGUAUCAAACAGGAUUAGAUACCCGAGUAGUC
RNAcentral lists this ribosomal RNA (460 nucleotides) under uncultured bacterium. RNAcentral's name for it is "partial 16S ribosomal RNA". It matches the Rfam family "Bacterial small subunit ribosomal RNA", at positions 338 to 795 of the family's 1533-position model. The record is from RNAcentral.